GAAUUGAACAGAUACUGGUUAUUUCGAUUUUUUUAUAUAGAUUUUCAUCAAUCAUGCAAAGUGAAAUAGUCAUAUACAUAGAUAAUAACUUCUCAAAUUCAUCAAUCAUGCAAAGUAAACCCACUACGUCCGGGUUUAUGUAUUACUAUUUACAAAUUGUUUUAUAUAAUGUCUGUUCAUAUAAAAUAAAGUUGAAUUCAUCGGUUUUGAAACAUAAAUAUGAUUUGUAAUUGUUUUUGAAAAGUCCAACUAUAUUAGUUCAUCUGAAAAAUGAAUGUGUUUGAGUUAUUUUUUAUUGUUGUUCUAGAUUCUCAGUUUUUUUUUUUAAUUUAUAUAUUCUUAUCUUUUUGUUUUAUUUUAAAUUGUGAGACGGUAAAAUUUUAGAAAAUUUAUUUCUUACACUAAAAAUAUAACAUGUCUUUAUUAACCAUGUUUCUGCAUAUUCAAUCUAAUCAUAUUCAACUUGAUGUUCUUAGAAAGUUUAGUUAAGUUCUUAUCAUAAUCUUAUAUCUUAAGUAUUAGUUAUAAGGAUAGCUCCUCAAACAUCUUUCAAAUUACUUGUUUUCUUAACAUAAAUCUCGAAAAGCUUAGAUAUAUUUAAUCUGCAUAUUCAUUUAGUUUCUUUCAUAAUAAUCGUCUAAUUUUUAGGCAAAAAAUAUGUGUAACAUGUUUGGAUUUUAUGAUCACUUUAGCUACUUAAGUGGAUCUCAAAAUUAAAGAGGAUACAUUGAAUUAAAAAAAUGUAGAAUGAGUGAUGGUUCAAGUUCUGAUUAAUUAUAUCCUCCUGUUUUAGUUGUUAUGUUGAAUUAAUUACUAAUUAUGUAUUCUUAUCUUAUGAAGUUUAGGUGACAAGCUUUCAUGUGCUAAUGUGUCAAGGGAAAGAAUUAGCCUAUAUGAAAGAUUUAAAAGAAAAUCAAAGAACAGUUUUGCCAUGAUCGAACCAAGAUAAGCCGGUUUGUGUA
This 962-nucleotide small RNA is filed under the name Arabidopsis thaliana (thale cress). RNAcentral's name for it is "ATSL238770". The record is from RNAcentral. Lineage: Eukaryota; Viridiplantae; Streptophyta; Magnoliopsida; Brassicales; Brassicaceae.